GUGGAUUAGAUACCCUGGUAGUCCUAGCCGUAAACGAUGGGCACUAGGUGUGGGGGGUUAUCAACUCCCUCCGUGCCGCAGCUAACGCAUUAAGUGCCCCGCCUGGGGAGUACGGCCGCAAGGCUAAAACUCAAAGGAAUUGACGGGGGCCCGCACAAGCAGCGGAGCAUGUGGCUUAAUUCGACGCAACGCGAAGAACCUUACCAAGGCUUGACAUGCAGAGAAAAGCGGCGGAAACGUCGUGUCCGAAAGGGCUCUGCACAGGUGGUGCACGGCUGUCGACAACU
This 287-nucleotide ribosomal RNA is filed under the name uncultured bacterium. RNAcentral describes it as "partial 16S ribosomal RNA". It matches the Rfam family "Bacterial small subunit ribosomal RNA", at positions 773 to 1060 of the family's 1533-position model. The record is from RNAcentral.